UACGUAGGGGGCAAGCGUUGUCCGGAUUUAUUGGGCGUAAAGCGCGUGUAGGCGGUCCGGUAGGUCCGCUGUGAAAGUCGGGGGCUUAACCCUCGGAUGCCGGUGGAUACUGUCGGGCUUGAGUACGGAAGAGGCGAGUGGAAUUCCUGGUGUAGCGGUGAAAUGCGCAGAUAUCAGGAGGAACACCAAUUGCGAAGGCAGCUCGCUGGGACGUUACUGACGCUGAGACGCGAAAGCGUGGGGAGCAAACAGG
Molecule: ribosomal RNA, 253 nt
Filed under: uncultured bacterium
Lineage: Bacteria
Description: partial 16S ribosomal RNA
Rfam family: Bacterial small subunit ribosomal RNA
Source: RNAcentral